AGAAGAUCAGAAGCAGCCUAGAUGAAGCACACAGUGUUUUAGCACAUCUCAUUUGAAUGUACUGUUAUCUUUACAAACAAACAGUCUAGCAGAUAUGCCCAAACUAACGCUCAUCAGAUUGUGUUUCUGGCUUUGUCUGGUGGUCUCCGGAGAUGCAGUCCCCAAACCUACAAUCACUUCUUCCUGUAACCCAGACAAAACCUCCUGCACUCUGACCUGUGAAGGUGACACCACUGAUGCUGAACCAGUCACUUACAGCUGGAAAGUGGGAGAGGGGCCGUGGGAGGUUGUAGGAAAACAGCUGAUUAUCUUUAAGAGCAACACUGGCAAAUCAACAAACAGUUACAAGUACACCUGCAAGCUGAAUAAUGCUGUUAGUGGGGAAGUCAGUGAGCCAGUUGGAGAGGUGUUUGGUUCAGAUCUUUAUCAUGAAGUGGGUGGUGAUCUGGUGUUGAAGCCAGAGAAGUCUACAGUGACUGACCACAUCACAAGCAUCCUAUGGAAGCAUGGGAAGAACAAGGUGGCAGAAUGGGACAAGGAUUAUGGUGGCCUGGACAUCUAUGGUGCCUUCAGAAACCGUACAACCCUGGACCAGACUACUGGAGAGCUGAGAAUCAGUGGAUUGAUGAAAACAGACAGUGGAGUUUAUUCUGUGGAGUUCAACAGAAAACUGCUAGACAAGACAUAUACACUAUCUGUUAUCAAGGCAGUCCCCAAACCCACAAUCACUUCUUCCUGUAACCCAGACAAAACCUCCUGCACUCUGACCUGUGAAGGUGACACCACUGAUGCUGAACCAGUCACCUACAGCUGGAAAGUGGGAGAGGGGCCGUGGGAGGUCUUAGACAAACAGCAGAAUGUCUCUAAGAGCAACACUGGCAAAUCAACCAGCGGUUACAAGUACAUCUGCAAGCUGAAUAAUGCUGUUAGUGGGGAAGUCAGUGAGCCAGUUGGAGAGGUGUUUGGUUCAGGUUUCACAGUUUGAAGGAACUUCCUUUUCCACUUGCAUUGCAAGCAGAGUAUGAACAUUUACAAGAAGGGAACCAUGAAGAUGAGCUCGGAGUGGGCAAGGGAGAGGCUGAUGAAGCAGCAGAGAAGACCUGAUUCAUCAAGUAUCAUUAACCCCAAUCAAAUAUCCAAUGUCAUUAAAACAUGUAUCCCAAUUUACAGUCAAACAACAUCGGUCAGUUGUGUUAAUGUUAUGAACUACAAACCAUCGAUGGUUCUUGGAGUCAAUGAAUCAAUUGAAAGUGACUACAAUUAGACUACAUUUUAAAACUGUCAGUAAAUAUGACAAAAAAAGUCAUCUGCUCUUAUGGUUCUGUUUACAUUUCUUCAACACUUCAAUCCGACGCUAAUGUUUGACGUCAGGCAAAACGUCUUCAGCCACCGUAGGACGGAGAGCCGCUGGUUGGCAUUUUUGUCUGUGUGGGUGUACCAGGAAAGGACGUUAGAAGUUAUGUCUCCAUGAUAUCGAAGCUUCUUACCAUCUCCACUGCGGCCCAGUCGAUAUCGAUUUAAAAAAAAAAACAGGAACAAGAGAUAUUGUGUAGCACAUAGUAGCAAAAAAAUUCACUGGAACAACUUGUUUGCCUAUUCUCCCAACAAAUGUCAAUUAUACAUUUUUACAUGCGUUAGAGUGCAUUUUCUUUUUUAGCUCUGCUUUUAACGCCAUCCUGACCCACAAACUGGUUAGCAGACUCAGGGCUCUGGGUAUAAAUCCUGUAAUAACAAAUUUGAUUUUUUUAACAUUAUCACAAGAAUGUGUAUCCCCAGAAUGGACCCAUGAUCAUGAGUACAUGAAGGAGCUGUGGGACCUGACAUAAUGGUGAUAGGACAACAGUCUCAGCGUAAGCAAAACAAAGUAAAUGGUGACACUUGACCGUUCUCCCAUCUACUGUACAUUGACAUGGAGAUGAUCAGCAGCUUCAAGUUCCUGGGUACCCUGAUAUCCUUUUCUGACCCGCAGUUACUUCAAUCAUUCCCACUUGUGUUUCUCCACUACCCUCAAACUUGCUGUACCACGACCUAUGUACCAAGUACAGUGUGUUUGUACUGCCAUAACAUGUAAAUGAAAUGUCCAUAUUUACUGUAAGAUGUAUUUAUGGUAACAUUGCACAUUGUAACAUAGUCCCUUGACAUACAUGACUUAACUACUUUGCAUAAUUCUCAGUAUACCCACUCUAAUAAAUCAUACAUAUAUUAAAGCUGCAUUAUGUAUUACUGUCCAAAUGAUUCUGGUUGUUUGUAAUGUUUUUGAAAACUUUCACUACACAACUUUUUUUUGCUCAUGGACACUGGAAACUUUCAUAAUAUCAAUUAUUUUGGGACACAUCACCAAUUAACAGUGCAGCAUUCUGAACUUACUAGGUUGUCAUGCAAUAAACAUUUUGGAUAAUCCCCCUUAAAUCAAUUCGUAUUUGUCACAUGCACCAACUACAACCGGUGUAGACCUUACAGUGAAAUGCUUACUUUACAAGCCCUUAACCAACAAUGCAGUUUUAAAAAAUUACCAAAAAAGUAAAGUAAAUAAUUAAAG
RNA transcript from Oncorhynchus keta (chum salmon), 2539 nucleotides. RefSeq lists it as uncharacterized. NCBI's taxonomy places the organism in Eukaryota, Metazoa, Chordata, Actinopteri, Salmoniformes, Salmonidae. The record is from RefSeq and is a predicted model, not a curated record. The transcript has 6 exons.